Molecule: ribosomal RNA, 249 nt
Filed under: Gallus gallus (chicken)
Lineage: Eukaryota; Metazoa; Chordata; Aves; Galliformes; Phasianidae
Description: partial 16S ribosomal RNA
Source: RNAcentral
AAGACGAGAAGACCCUGUGGAACUUUAAAAUCACGACCACCUUACAACCUUACACAGCCCCACUGGGUCCACCCACACAUAAACCCCUGGUCGACAUUUUUCGGUUGGGGCGACCUUGGAGAAAAAAAAAUCCUCCAAACCCACAGACCACAACUCUUCACUAAGACCAACUCCUCAAAGUACCAACAGUAACCAGACCCAAUAUAAUUGAGCAAUGGACCAAGCUACCCUAGGGAUAACAGCGCAAUC